This 10630-nucleotide unclassified non-coding RNA is filed under the name Homarus americanus (American lobster). Its description in RNAcentral is "uncharacterized LOC121871386, transcript variant X1". The record is from RNAcentral. Lineage: Eukaryota; Metazoa; Arthropoda; Malacostraca; Decapoda; Nephropidae.
CGCCGUCCAGUACGCUGACACCUCCACUCCGGUGUGUACGUGUGAUAAUACUAGGUGUCCAGCUGUUUUAAUCUGUGAUAUAAUUACCGUAGGAGCCAGUGUAGACUAAGUUAAGUGGGAUCCGACUACAAGACAAACAGACAAGAUGGUGGUGUCGGAGGGAGCCAUCAACAACAUUAUGGGUGGGAUGGAGAACACGGCCGGGGUCAGACUCCACUCCCACCGUCACAAGCUAAAACAGAGGUUCGACAUUAUACGGAAGUUAGGUCAGGGAACUUACGGCAAAGUGCAGUUGGCGGUUAACAAAGAAACGGGGCAAGAGGUUGCAAUCAAGACCAUCAAGAAGGCCAAAAUUGAGACAGAACAAGACUUGAUACGCAUACGGAGAGAGAUUCAGAUCAUGUCAUCAGUCCAACAUCCUCAGAUCAUCCAUAUUUAUGAAGUAUUUGAAAAUCGGGAAAAAAUGGUGUUGGUGAUGGAAUAUGCGGCGGGUGGAGAACUCUACGAUUAUCUUAGCGAGCGCAAGGUGCUAUCGGAAGACGAAGCUCGGAGAGUGUUUCGUCACGUUGCCUCUGCAACAUAUUAUUGCCAUAAGCAUAAAAUCUGCCACCGAGAUCUCAAAUUAGAAAAUAUCUUAUUGGACUUGGAAGGUAAUGCCAAGAUUGCAGAUUUUGGUCUUUCAAACGUGUUUGAUGAAAAACAUCGGUUGGACACAUUUUGUGGGUCUCCUCUUUAUGCAUCACCAGAAAUUGUUAAAGGCAUCCCCUACACUGGACCAGAAGUUGACUGUUGGUCGUUAGGAGUUUUGCUGUACACACUUGUGUAUGGUGCCAUGCCAUUCGAUGGCUCGAACUUCAAGCGACUGGUCAAACAAAUCACACAGGGAGAUUACUACGAGCCUAAGAAGCCUUCUCGUGCCUCUGACUUGAUCCGACAUAUGCUCACGGUGUCGGCCACUAAACGAGCCACAAUAGAGGACAUUUGUAAUCACUGGUGGGUCAACGAGGGAUUCUCAGAGCAAUGUUUGGAAGUGGCCGAGGCCCUGGCUAACCAAACUCCCGUCCGCCUUGAUCUGCUGCUGUCACUCGCCCCAAAGCACAUCAAUUCAGAGCACAUGCUCAUCCAGCCAGAAGAAGAUGACAGUGCCAGAUCGCCGCCUACCUCAGAGGUGACUCGACCACCCCCACAGCUCCAGUUGCCUCCUCCACCUCCGUCUGACCCUCUUCCAGUUGCUCCAGCACGUUCAGCUUCCCUUGGUGCAGUCACGUCUAUUAAUCACAAUGAAAUUGAAGCUUUGUUGGCACAGAAAAUACGGGAAAAGAAGGAGAAGGAGAAGAAGAGAAAAGCCGAUGAAUCUGGUACUAUGGAAAAGAAAAAGAAAAGAGAGUCUCUGGUAGAGGGAACUCCCAAACCUAGUCGUAAAGAACGAAAGUCAGACGUACACUCACAUGCAGGAGAGUCGGGAAGUAGUCGAAGACCUCCAGUCAUACCAGACAGCGACUUAUCCGAGCGUAAAAAGAGCGUGAAAAAGCGAGAACCUGUAGUGGACGACGAUACUUUAGAACACGAUAGAAGUGAGCGUUCAGAACGGAAAAAGAGUGUUAAAAAGCGUGAACCUAUAGUUGAUGGUGAUAUUAGUGAUCUAAGUGAAAAGUCUGAGAGAAGAAAGAGUGUGAAAAAGCGAGAACCUUCAGUAGGUAAAGAUGUUAGUGAGAGUGACAGAACAGAGAGGAAGAAGAGUGUAAAGAAGCGAGAUCCAUCAGCUGAUAAGGACAUUAGUGAAAGUGAGAGAACAGACAAAAAGAAAGUUGUGAAAAAGAGGGAGUCUUCUGUGACUAGAGAGUUAAUUGAUGAUAAAGUAGAGAGGAGAAAAAGUACGAAAAAGAAAGAGUCAUUGAAGGAAAAGACUCCUAUUAAGACUGAUAGUGAAUCUAUUACUGAACCUUCACCUGUGAUAAAUGGGGAAAAACAUGCAUAUAGUAAAGCCGAGAUGGGUAAGUCACGGGACAUACAGAUGGACACAUGUGAGGACCAAUUCUUGAGUCAGAGCCAAAAGCCUCCCCUACCCAAGGACCAAGUUAUAGAGCAGGUACAACCUCCUUCAUCCAAUGAUAUGGAACUAUGUAGAAGUAACAGUGCAAAGAGUGAGAUUAAGGAGAACUCAGGUCAACAGUCUGAACAGGUAGAGCCCAUGGAAACUGAGCCAGUCACUCCCACGACAACGUCCCCGGGACCCACGAGAGUGUCAGCGAGCAUGAGAUCAGUGGGGUCUGCUGCUUCCAAUGACAUAACCCUUAAGGCCUCUGAUUCUUCACUCUCCAGGGAGUCUGUUAGUCCAAUGAAGACUGAGGUAGGGGCAUCCCCCCAGCCUCAUGACACGCCAAAGAAAUCAUCAUCGCCCAGUCAGACUCCACAGGUGAGAAAAGUAAAGUCAAAGUCAUUAGUAAAAGCUUCCUCUAAGAGUAAGGUUGAGGCCAGGCCAGUGGAGGUAACAACCACCAACAGUGAAGUUAGUAGAGUAGUUCCAUCACCUAUUCCCAGGGUAGAUGAAACAGAAAAAAUUUUGCAAGAAACUGCAGAUAUAAUUAAACAUGCAGAAGAGUCAAACAUUCCUGAUACAUUAAAAACAGGAUAUGAAGAACCUCAGGUCAAAAGGGAAGUAGGUGGAGGUGUUGUGCGCAAAGAAUGUGAGUCAGUCAGUGACGUUCGGCAGAAGGAUACUGAAUCAACUGGUGAGUCGGUCUCUAGUAAAGAUGUUAGCCAGUCAUCAUCUAUGUUAUCAACUCCAACUCGAAGUCGAGCUGGUUCAGAGUCAUCCACAGAAGCUCGGCCGCCCCGUACAGACUCGGCAAAGAGACAGUCAAAGAUUUUUAAGGCUGCUGCCAUGUGGGAGAACCAAGGUAAUACAACUCAACCCCCAAUUGAGAAACUCAAGAAGCCAGUCAGAACUGCGGGAAAUGUCAUGUCCGACCUAGCAAGGAAGUUUGAGGAAAAGCCAUUAGUUGAUCGCAAGAGUAAAUUGGUACCCAGUUUUAAGGUGUCUGAUGCUAGGAAAGCCUUUGAAACUAAACCAGCGGAGAAACCCACUGUUAUUCUGCGGAGAAAGUCAACUGCAGAAUCACUGCCAUCUUCUCCCACUAACAAGGAUGGUCCUCAGAUACCUACCACUCUCUCGGGACCAAUACCUUCCCGUGAUGCUGUCAGGGAUGGAACACCUGUCAAAGAAGCUUCUUCAGUAAAAUCUAACAAAGAGAAAUCACCAAUCAAAGAGAAAUCUCCUGCAAACAGCCCAUCAGAAGAAAAAAUAGUUGAAAAUGACAUUGAAAAGGAAAAAUCACCAAAGAUAAUAAAGGAAUCAAGUAGCAAAGAAACUACCAUGCCAACAUCUCCCAAACUGCCAUCAGCUGAGGCAGAGGUCCAAAGAGUUGAGGACAAUAACGUGUUAUUAACCGAUAAAACAGAGAAGAAGAAGCACAGUGAAGCUGCAAAGAAGGAAAAGUUAGGAGAUGCUAAAAAGACAAACAUGGCAGAAAAAUCACGUGCUGGUACUGAUGAAAAAUUGGUUACUCCAAAGACUUCCACACACACCAUAGAAGUGAGCCCAAGUGAGACAGUGAUGAGAUCUGAAGAAGAGAAGGCAGUGGUUGUGGGUGGUCUCAACUUGAAACUUGGAGGUGUUGGAAAAAUAUCUGAAGUUGGAACAAAGCAAGAAGUACUGAAAGCUGAGUCAUCCGAUUCUUCAGAUUCAGAAUCUGAAGCGGAAAAACUUCUCAAGUUGGUGUCAGAAAAACGAGAGAAGGUCGAGGCUGCAAGACAGGAAAAGUUGCGCAAAGUCUCUGAAGCUAAAGAUAGAGAAUACAAGAAAGAUAUGCCAGCCAUUAGAGAAGAAGCACAGUUAAAUUCACCCUCAAGCUCACCAUCAAAGUCUCCUGAAAAGGAUGUCAAGUUACCAUUACCAGAAACCCGGGACUCGGCACCAGAGCAGAAGUUUGCCACACUACCACGAGGAUUCAAGGCCAAAACAUCACGACCAGCUGCUGCUGCUGGGCCUGCUCCAUUGCCUCCUAUAGAAAAGAUAAAGAAAGAUGACAAGAAAGAUAAGACCAUCAACCAAGAAAUUGAAGGAAUGAUGUCGGCAAUAAAGGCCGUGGAUCAGGCCAUUACUAAGGAAGAGCAGGAAAUCAAGAUGCUACGUGAUUCCUUGGCUCGUAAUCUUCCUGAAAAUAUUGAGGAAGAGCAAAUCAAGUCUCAUGAGGGAUCAGCCUCACCACAUCCUGAACACAGCCCUGUUACCAAGGAGACUGAGGCCAUCCCACCGGAAAAGGUUCUCACGCCCUCAACUGGAGAUAUACCGGUGACUACCAGUACUUCAGGCACUAGUGUGCCGCAGGGGCCAGGUGAGACCACCCAGAAGGCACAGGAAGCCAAGGAUGUUGACCGUAAGAAGACAAAGCUGGAAAUUGUUCUGAACAACAAGAAACCAGAUGCCCAGGAGCCAGACCUAAUCAACAAGAGGGCCUCAUAUGCUGAAAUCAAGCUGACUUCUCCCACCUCCAAAGAUACCCCAAAGACUCAGGAGUACAGAUCAGAAGUCCGACACAGUGUAGGACCCGCCCAUGGAAUGGGAGAGGCCCAGCUGCAGAGAGCAAAGAGAGAGCGCAUCAUUCCCAUCAUGCUUGAGGAUGAUGAUGAUGAUGAUGAUGAUGAUGACCUCACCACAAGUGAGAACCUUUCCCGCACUGAUAGGCCUGUAGGCACCUCAGGAUCAAGGGUCACAUCACCACAGCCUUCACAGCUUCCAAACAGACGCACCUCUGACCCACGAUCACCCAUGUACAAUCCCUCACCCGAACCAAUAAGGAAGUCUCGUCGGGAACGAAUUAUUCCAAUAGCAGUUGAGGGAGAAGGCAUCGUCACUCCUCCCCCUCAUGUAGAAGAAGCGGCAGAACUUGGAGCAGCUCGGGCACAUCAAGCAUUUUCACGCACUUUAUCAGGGAGACCCACAGCUCUUAAUGGAAUGACAGAAGGUGAGGGGGAGAGUGAACCACUGUCACCCACGGGCACUGUGUCCUGUCCUCCACUACCUCGUAGGGCUCCGGCUGACCUUGGUCCGGUGCCCGUGUGGCAGCGACGCCUCUCUCACACUAACAGUCGAGGGCGAGGAUUCCUUCUGGAUCACAGUGAAAGCUUCAGUUCAGCAGGAGAAGAAGAAGAAGAAGAUGAAGAUGAUGGUUUCCAAAUCCUCACUGCUGAAUCCCUGUUUUCAACUCUACUUAACCGAGUCCGUUCAUUAACUCGCAAGAUGAAUGCUGAUGAAAUCCGAAAUGAAAGGAGCCGCCGAUCAUCAAAUCGACCCACUCCAGAGCCUAACAUGGCUCCCAGCAGUGCAGGAAUUGGAGCAGCUCACUCAGCUUCCUCUGGCUUUUGGUCAUCUCUCUACAACUCCCCUCGAGACUCACCUGCCAGGAGGAUCUCCGAGACAAUGUCGCGUAGUAGCCUCGGGCGAGAUGAUGACACAUUAGGGGGACUCAGCUCUCCACUGUGGACACGCAGUGUUUCCCGGGACACCUCUGAUGCUGACACACUGUUCUCAGAAGCCUCGACUCCAUUUGGUACACUGCCGAGAGGGUGGCGGGCAUCCCGGUGGUCAGGCGGUGAUGAUGGAGGAGAGUCUGACACAUCUGAAGCCUCUGCCCGUUCCCUUGGUCGUCGGCCACAGUUUUCCCGUGCUCCUUCCCGAGAGCUACACAACAUCCCCGACGAAGAGCUGGGGAUGAUGGGCAGCAGAGGGUACCCAGGAGGUGGCAUGUCACUUCCUCGUCCAUAUCCUGCUAGCAGCAGCGGAAAUCUAACUCAAAAUAGAGGUAUGCACGACUCUGCAGACCGGAUAGCAGCAAUGUAUGGAACACUGCGGAGUCAACAUCGCCGCCCCCACUCUACUGUGGGUGGCCAGCCGGGGGAAUGCAUUGGGAGGGAUGGUGGGCUUUGUGAGCAGCAGCUACAGCGACCAGCUCCGCUGAACACUGCUUCUCACACUUGUGUGCAAAAAGACCAGCACACUUCACAGCUUUCCCCCAGCGGCCAGUCAUCAGAAGACACAGAGGCUCUGAAGCAGAGUGUGCAAGAACAACUGAAACAGCUUGUGAGAGAGCUAGAAGCUGGAGAAGAUGAGGCCCCUGAGGUGCCCAAACUGCCAGACCAACAACAACUGAGAGGUAACAACACACACUCUGAAAUGUUUUCACCAACUCGUGGUUUACCAGCACAGUUUUCUGGUACACCAAACACUUCAUCAACACGAACUUUUUCUCCAAACACACAAAUGUAUUGUUCUGGCAAACCAAUGUACUCCUCUAACCCAGCACUCCACAUCUCCUGCACACCAAUUCAACGUUCUUCCACACAAACACAUUCUGAAAGUACUACUGGAUACCAUGGAACACCUCCAGUUAUGACUAACAACAUGAGAGCAAACAGUGAACAUGCAACAAGACUAAGAAAAAACCUGGGCUUUGUAAAUAAGGCAGAAGCAAGUGAUGCAACAGUAAUUACCUCAGCUUGUGGAGUGACAAACACUGUACCUGCCAACAGUGCCUCUACAAGUAAUAUUCCAAUGCUCCGUACUGAUGCUGGGGCGAGUGACCGCAAGAACCGUGCACUUUCCGUCCAUCCAACACCUAGUGAUCACAUUGGUUAUAAUACCAUCCUAGACAUCUGUCGAGAGGGGGCAAUUAGUCCUUCAAAUAGUGACGGUGUUCCUGAAAGUGGUGGCAUUCGACGAGCUUUAUCCUCCCGAGAGGAAUGGCUUAAGUCUGGUAACACAUUUGUUAAAAGUGCUGACAAUUCUGCCCUGGAUGCCUACAGACGAUCUCGUGGGAAAGUUAAUAUACAUGAACACCAAGGAGGAAAACCUGAAGACAUAUGCUGUACCACCGACAGCCUGAGUCGUGUGGAGUCUCAACAAAAUAGAAGUGUCCCUAUUCAUUCUCUCUUUAACCGCCAGUAUUCAUCCGAUAUUAAAACUAAUGCACCUCUACCUGACACAAAGACCUAUGGCAAUGAUAUGGUAAGUGUUAAUAAGGAAGCAGCAAACAACAACAUAAACAAUCAAGUUAUGGCAGUCAGUUCUAUUAACAAAAAUAAAAAUGAAAAUAAUAUCAUUGAGAAUUGUAAUGUUAAUGAAUCAGUUAUAAGAAACAGUAACUUGACAUCAAAUGAUAGUAACUUAACAUCAAACAGUAUAACUAAAGCAAAUAACAACAGUACAAACAAUGUUCAAAAUAACAACAGUGGCAUUGCAACAAGUCGCUCAACCAGCGGCAUUCCUGUGAAGAGUAACAGCCGCAGCAGCCUCAGCACUCGCAGCAGCUACAGUGGCAAUAGCAGCAGCAGCACAAGCACUAAAGGAACCAGUGAUUUUCUACAACUUAAGACAUACCGGAAAAGUAAAUCAAGAGAAUUGACGCCGGCAAUUGAAGCUGCCGGGGAAAAGUUUAAUCAACUUAACUCUGGCUCACUAAAGCGUAUUUCACCUUUUGAAGCUUACCGACGCAAUAAAUCCCGUGAACUGCCAAUAGAAGCUGUCAAAAAAGAUCCCCCAACUGUGAGAUUAAAAUCACCACUGCCUGCUCCUGAUCGUUCCAAAUCGCCAUUUGAAAAGGCAAGAACAUCCAUUGAGAAGAAAUUCGAUCAUGCAAAAUCACCAGAAAGAGCACCAAACCAAAACAAUGAGGGUGCUGCUAAUCCUAUCCGUGCUCCACCCACACCUAACUUGAACCAGUUAUCAACUUGUAUAGCAAAAGAAAACAAGAUUAAUAAAUCUGAAGAUGAAACUGUUGUUCAAGAAAAGGAAAGGAAGACAGAACACAAAAAUCAUAAAGACAAAGAGAGAUUCAUAGAAAAGGAUUUAAACCAAGAGGAAGUGCAAGUAAAAAAGAAAGAAAAUGAAAAAGAGAAGGAGCUGAACAAAGACAAUGAAAAGGACAGAGGCAAAGUAAAGAAAACUUCCUCUUGUGAUCCAGAGAAACCUAAAUCUAUGUACAAGUUACUUGCUUCACGAUUUAAUCGAUCUGGUUCCAGUGUUUCUGACAACACUCGUUCAGCAACAGACAAACGACCGGAAGACGAUGAUGCACCUGAAAAAGAAGAAAAAUUUCGACUAAAAAGGCCCUCGCGGUUCCUGAAACACAAGACAGAAAAAAGCUCUUCUAAAUCCAGUGUGUGUGAAGGAGAUGGGACUCUAGAUGAUUCAGAGAGACCUGAGAGGAAGCCCUCAAAGAAACUAACAGAUGCACUUAAUAAAUUUCUAGGCCGUAAAGAUACAAAAGAAGAAUCCCGAACAUCACUAAACUCAAUGUCUCAACCUUCCAUACCCACAGCAAGUGCUGAUGAAGAACAUCCUAAGAAACCACCUCGAAUGAAAUCCAAGAAAUUUUCAAAAAGUCAGGAAAAUCUAUUUUUAAGUCGUGUAGAGGAGGGCGGUGAAUUAGGGUCAGGGUCCCCUCUCACAGAACGGGCACAGAGUGUUGUCCCAGAGGGCAGCCCUGCUAACUUACAACCUAGUUAUACUCUUGAAUCAGUGACAAAGAGUAUCUGUGACCAUCUAUCUCAACUUGAAAGUGAUAUUACUUCACGUAUUGGCAACAUGGGUGUUCAGGAGUCUGGGGCUGGAGUGAAAACAUCCGGAGGUUCUCGUGUAACUCCUGCAGUUUCUUCUGUGGGUUCAAUUACAACCUAUGGAUUGUCACCGGCUUUAGCAAGCCGCAGAAAUGGUCGACCUACCAAUCUUGAUUUGGCUGCUGCAAAUAUAGAUAAUCACCAUCCACCUACGGUUCCAGCGCAAACAGUAGACAAGAACACAAAAACAAGUUCUAAUCACAUUCCCAGCAAUGAGGGUGAAGGAGUCAAAUAUGCCCAAAUCAAAAAGCUGGCUGGUAGUGGGAAUGUUGACCCACUACAAGAUGGAAAUCAUUCUCAAACACAAUUAAGAGAAUCUUCUACAAUUGGGAUUGAGGAUCCUAGAGGACUAAGUGAAAAUGAGGAUGAAAGUGUCAUGGACAGAAUCACAAGGAAGAGUUACUAUUCAAAAUUUCAAGAUAAAAAGAAGCCAAAAUUACGUAGAGCAAAUACAAAAGAAGACAUGGACCAACAGUUAGCAGCAGCAAAGGCUCGUCUCAUGAAGGAGGAAACAGAGAAAACAGUAAGGGAAUCCCUCAGUCCCCUGCGGUAUGCUUCACCAGUUACUUCUCCGAGAGCUUCUGUCACCUCUCCUCCUUCUUGGGAAAUUCCUCGAAGACACUCUAGAAAAUCUCUUCCUCCAGAGGAUCCAACUAUCUUCUUGAUGGGGGGGCGGCGAGGCAUGUCUCUGCAACCAGAUGAUCUGCCUGGCAUACGACGCUUUACUUCCGUCCAACCAGAUGACAUUCAAAGUAUACGUCGCUUACCAUCGCUGCCCCCAGAGGACCGACACUAUACCCAUAGAGCACCUUCAAUGCCUUUGGAGGAUUAUUCCUUAAAUCACCGCAUAAAGUCCAUUCCGCCUGAAGACCGCCCCUACACCUACCGAGCACCAUCCAUGCCACCUGAUAAUAUUUCAUCUAAAAGCCGUAAGAAUUCAAAUCUUCCCAAUGACUCCAAAGCACACCCGUCCAGUCCAAAUAUUGAUAAUGAAUUAGAUGGAGAACGAGUACAAGAUGCUGUAGCUGCUGCAGUUGCAGCGGGUGCACUUGCAGGAGAAGCAGCAGCAGUUGUAGCAGCAGUAGACAGUUCUACAGAGAGGGGCAGCAGCAAGUCCCGUGAGCCAUCAGUUAGCCGCCUUCGAAGUCCCGAUCCUCCAAAUCGCUUGACUCCAAGUCACGAUGAUACACGUAACCUUGCUCGAGAAGAACUGUCACGACGCCUUACUCACCUGACACGUAUAUCGGGUACCAGUGGACAAUCUGGCUGGAACCGAGGAGGGUUAAAUGGAGGGGGUAAGACUGGUGACGUGGGUGAGAAGCGAGUUUAUCGGCGCACCAAUACUACCGGUCACCUGGGAGAAGCACUGCCUGGAAUUUCACAAUCAGGUGUCAACCCAGGACUUUCUGUAAGACCAGUGUACCGACGUACCAAUACUAUGGACCUGCCACCAGCAGAUGCUCGAGCUCGACCAGGUAGUGAGUACCGGCGACAGCUGCAAGACCCUGCGCGCCGUUUCUCAGCCGCAAGGUGGGUGCCUUGAGGAGUACGUGUCAUGCUGCCAAGGCAGAACCUUCAACACGCCUGGCAGCAAUUCAUCACUUCACACUUAUCACCAGUAGAAGCAAUACUAGCAGUACUGUAGUGCAACUACCAUCUACAGUAGUUGAUUGAGUCAUCAAUACCAAUAGUAGAAAUAACAGUAAAACAGCGUGGCUUUACAAGUGACCUUUAGGGUCUACGUUUCAGCAGUAGAUACUCCCACAGAUGAUCUGUAAAUGGUGGUUUUUUUCCUGCGAGAAGGCCCCAUCCAUUGCGUUAGUGGACACUAGUGGAAGAAGAGGCCCUCCCCACAUCUUCACCUCGGACACCUUCUUCCCGUCUCGUCUCUCCGUCCUUCAGCUCAUCGUUGUCAUCCCAUCGCAGUUACUCGAAUAUGGAUCCUCCACGCUAC